GAAAGAGAAAGAGAGAAAGAGAAAGAGUGAGAGGUGGUAAGGAAAGGAAAGGAAAGGAAAAAAAAAAACGUAAACAACAACAUUCUGUUGCCGGAGAAAUAUCUUUCGUUGCAACGCACUUGACGAUAUGGCGUCGUAGAAAAUUCGAUAACAGAAAAACCUUUCUUCUUCUUCUUCCCGUCUUCAUCUCGCUUGUUCGUUCCUCUUUCUCUUUUUC
This is a non-coding RNA of Cinara cedri, 217 nucleotides long. The record is from the annotation of a GenBank genome assembly. Lineage: Eukaryota; Metazoa; Arthropoda; Insecta; Hemiptera; Aphididae.